This 490-nucleotide ribosomal RNA is filed under the name uncultured bacterium. RNAcentral describes it as "partial 16S ribosomal RNA". It matches the Rfam family "Bacterial small subunit ribosomal RNA", at positions 30 to 507 of the family's 1533-position model. The record is from RNAcentral.
AUUGAACGCUGGCGGCAGGCCUAACACAUGCAAGUCGAACGGUAACAGGAAGAAGCUUGCUUCUUUGCUGACGAGUGGCGGACGGGUGAGUAAUGUCUGGGAAACUGCCUGAUGGAGGGGGAUAACUACUGGAAACGGUAGCUAAUACCGCAUAACGUCGCAAGACCAAAGAGGGGGACCUUCGGGCCUCUUGCCAUCGGAUUUGCCCAGAUGGGGUUAGCUAGUAGGUGGGGUAACGGCUCACCGAGGCGACGAUCCAUAGCUGAUCUGAGAGGAUGACCAGCCACACUGGAACUGAGACACGGUCCAGACUCCUACGGGAGGCAGCAGUGGGGAAUAUUGCACAAUGGGCGAAAGCCUGAUGCAGCCAUGCCGCGUGUAUGAAGAAGGCCUUCGGGUUGUAAAGUACUUUCAGCGGGGAGGAAGGGAGUAAAGUUAAUACCUUUACUCAUUGACGUUACCCGCAGAAGAAGCACCGGCUAACUCCGUG